This is a non-coding RNA of Gasterosteus aculeatus aculeatus (three-spined stickleback), 524 nucleotides long. The record is from RefSeq and is a predicted model, not a curated record. NCBI's taxonomy places the organism in Eukaryota, Metazoa, Chordata, Actinopteri, Perciformes, Gasterosteidae.
CAAACAAACAAACAAAACAGAAAAACAGUAGUCAAAAACGUGUAACUUAUCAUAAUCACCUUCAAUUUCAUCCUGGUUUUCUUUUGCUGUAACUUCAAAAGGCUUUUUCCAGAUUAGUGUCUGGAUGGACAAACAAUGUGCUGGAUUGAUGAGCAGCACGUUUCUCCUUCAAUGAACUGAACCUUUGCUUUCAUUCUUAAGUGGAAUACGGACUGCAGCCCAUCACACCAGUUUAACAUGAAGAUGAGAAGGACGAGGUGAAGCUGAGCUCUGGCCUGAAGAGGUAUUACGUCAAUGUUUGUUAGCAGAGAGAAUGACAUUCUUCUUUAUAUUGUGGCAACCCACGAAGCAGCACCCUGGACAGCGCCUCAAGAGAUCAGCACCAAGGUCUGGGGCACCGACGAGCCAGAGGUCAGGAAGGGGACUGAAGGCCGAACAGCCUGUUGAACCGAGCCCUCAAAAGAGGAAGAACCUAUUUUGCCCUUUUCCCUUUUUUUGUAUGUCAAAAUAAACCGUACCCUUUU